ACAGGGCAUUGCCUCAGUAACGGCGAGUGAAGCGGCAACAGCUCAAAUUUGAAAUCUGGUCCCCUCUGGGGGCCCGAGUUGUAAUUUGAAGAGGAUGCUUUUGGCGAGGCGCCUUCCGAGUGCCCUGGAACGGGACGCCACAGAGGGUGAGAGCCCCGUAUGGUAGGACGCCGAGCCUCUGUAAAGCUCCUUCGACGAGUCGAGUAGUUUGGGAAUGCUGCUCAAAAUGGGAGGUAAACCCCUUCUAAAGCUAAAUAUUGGCCAGAGACCGAUAGCGCACAAGUAGAGUGAUCGAAAGAUGAAAAGCACUUUGAAAAGAGAGUUAAACAGCACGUGAAAUUGUUGAAAGGGAAGCGCUUGCGACCAGACUUGCGCCCGUCGGAUCAACCGUCCCUCGUGGGCGGCGCACUCCGGCGGGCUCAGGCCAGCAUCAGUUUUCCUGGGGGUAGAAAGGCGGUGGGAAUGUAGCUCUUCGGAGUGUUAUAGCCCGCCGCGUAAUGCCCUCGGGGGGACUGAGGACCGCGCGUAUGCAAGGAUGCUGGCGUAAUGGUCGUCAGCGACCCGUCUUGAAACACGGACCAAGGAGUCGUCCUAAUAUGCGAGUGUACGGGUGUAAAACCCCUGCGCGUAAUGAAAGUGAACGGAGGUGAGAGCUUCGGCGCAUCAUCGACCGAUCCUGAUGUUCUCGGAUGGAUUUGAGUAAGAGCAUAUUGGGCCGGACCCGAAAGAAGGUGAACUAUGCCUGUAUAGGGUGAAGCCAGAGGAAACUCUGGUGGAGGCUCGCAGCGGUUCUGACGUGCAAAUCGAUCGUCAAAUAUGGGCAUGGGGGCGAAAGACUAAUCGAACCU
This 848-nucleotide ribosomal RNA is filed under the name Cephalotrichum gorgonifer. RNAcentral describes it as "eukaryotic LSU rRNA". It matches the Rfam family "Eukaryotic large subunit ribosomal RNA", at positions 68 to 942 of the family's 3401-position model. The record is from RNAcentral. Lineage: Eukaryota; Fungi; Ascomycota; Sordariomycetes; Microascales; Microascaceae.